ACGGGUGAGUAACACGUGGUAACCUGACCUAAGGUGGGGGAUAACAUUUGGAAACAGAUGCUAAUACCGCAUAAAACCUAACACCGCAUGGUGUAGGGUUGAAAGAUUGGUUUCGGCUAUCACUUUAGGAUGGACCCGCGGUGCAUUAGUUAGUUGGUGAGGUAAAGGCUCACCAAGACCGUGAUGCAUAGCCGACCUGAGAGGUAAUCGGCCACACUGGGACUGAGACACGGCCCAGACUCCUACGGGAGGCAGCAGUAGGGAAUCUUCCACAAUGGACGAAAGUCUGAUGGAGCAACGCCGCGUGAGUGAAGAAGGUUUUCGGAUCGUAAAACUCUGUUGUUGGAGAAGAAUGUAUCUGAUAGUAACUGAUCAGGUAGUGACGGUAUCCAACCAGAAAGCCACGGCUAACUACGUG
This 418-nucleotide ribosomal RNA is filed under the name uncultured bacterium. Its description in RNAcentral is "bacterial SSU rRNA". It matches the Rfam family "Bacterial small subunit ribosomal RNA", at positions 102 to 507 of the family's 1533-position model. The record is from RNAcentral.